CCAGGACACAAGGGCCUACAUAAGAGGAUAGGUUUUCCUGAUCCGGCCCCCUGUGGUUACAAAUGCAUUUACCGCGGAUCUUUGAGAGUAUAAAGCCCACUGCACAGUGCUAUGCAUACACUUCUGGAAAAGGACGAUUCCUCUCAAGAACCAUAUCCCGUAAAGACCCACUUCAACUAUAAAUGGACGGAGAAUCAACCCGCAACAAUGAAGUUCUAAAUGAUAUCCAGGAGCUUAUAGAAGAACAUUUAAUUUCACACCAGGAGGAAGUAAUUGAACAGCCUCCUACGAUCGUUCCCCUCUCACCUACGUUGGUACUGCUGUCCCCCACAUGGUUUUUGGAGAAUC
Acipenser ruthenus (sterlet) is the source of this 348-nucleotide long non-coding RNA. RefSeq lists it as uncharacterized. NCBI's taxonomy places the organism in Eukaryota, Metazoa, Chordata, Actinopteri, Acipenseriformes, Acipenseridae. The transcript is spliced from 3 exons. The record is from RefSeq and is a predicted model, not a curated record.